This 253-nucleotide ribosomal RNA is filed under the name uncultured bacterium. RNAcentral's name for it is "partial 16S ribosomal RNA". It matches the Rfam family "Bacterial small subunit ribosomal RNA", at positions 524 to 776 of the family's 1533-position model. The record is from RNAcentral.
UACAGAGGAGCCAAGCGUUGUCCGGAUUGACUGGGCGUAAAGCGCACGCAGGCGGUCGCGCGCGUGGGGUGUGAAAUCUGGCCGCUUAACGGCCAGGCGCCAUCCCAUACGGCACGACUGGAGUGAUGCAGAGGUCGAUGGAAUUGCCGGUGUAGUGGUGAAAUGCGUAGAUAUCGGGAGGAACACCUGUGGCGAAGGCGGCCGACUGGGCCGACCCUGACGCUGAGGCGCGAAGGCGUGGGGAGCGAACGGG